RNAcentral lists this ribosomal RNA (332 nucleotides) under bacterium ocnta383lb343onp9.8. RNAcentral describes it as "bacterial SSU rRNA". It matches the Rfam family "Bacterial small subunit ribosomal RNA", at positions 50 to 379 of the family's 1533-position model. The record is from RNAcentral.
UACACAUGCAGUCGAGCGGCAGCACGNAGAAACUUGUUUCUCGGGUGGCGAGCGGCGGACGCNGUGAGUAAUGCCUGGGAAUUGCCCUGAUGUGGGGGANAACCAUUGGAAACGAUGGCUAAUACCGCAUGAUAGCUUCGGCUCAAAGAGGGGGACCUUCGGGCCUCUCGCGUCAGGAUAUGCCCAGGUGGGAUUAGCUAGUUGGUGAGGUAAGGGCUCACCAAGGCGACGAUCCCUAGCUGGUCUGAGAGGAUGAUCAGCCACACUGGAACUGAGACACGGUCCAGACUCCUACGGGAGGCAGCAGUGGGGAAUAUUGCACAAUGGGCGCA